Molecule: ribosomal RNA, 492 nt
Filed under: uncultured bacterium
Lineage: Bacteria
Description: partial 16S ribosomal RNA
Rfam family: Bacterial small subunit ribosomal RNA
Source: RNAcentral
AGUGAACGCUGGCGGUAGGCCUAACACAUGCAAGUCGAACGGCAGCACAGUAAGAGCUUGCUCUUACGGGUGGCGAGUGGCGGACGGGUGAGGAAUACAUCGGAAUCUACUUUUUCGUGGGGGAUAACGUAGGGAAACUUACGCUAAUACCGCAUACGACCUACGGGUGAAAGCAUGGGAUCUUCGGACCUUGCGCGAUUGAAUGAGCCGAUGUCGGAUUAGCUAGUUGGCGGGGUAAAGGCCCACCAAGGCGACGAUCCGUAGCUGGUCUGAGAGGAUGAUCAGCCACACUGGAACUGAGACACGGUCCAGACUCCUACGGGAGGCAGCAGUGGGGAAUAUUGGACAAUGGGCGCAAGCCUGAUCCAGCCAUACCGCGUGGGUGAAGAAGGCCUUCGGGUUGUAAAGCCCUUUUGUUGGGAAAGAAAAGCAGCAGGUUAAUACCCUGCUGUUCUGACGUUACCCAAAGAAUAAGCACCGGCUAACUUCGUG